Molecule: long non-coding RNA, 1188 nt
Organism: Hyla sarda
Lineage: Eukaryota; Metazoa; Chordata; Amphibia; Anura; Hylidae
Exons: 5
Source: RefSeq, a predicted model, not a curated record
CUGAUAUCCCUGCCAUUGUUGAGUUGGUGCUUACACUGACACUUGUAUUGGGAUCAUUGGAGUCCUACGGCACUAUAACACAUAUCAUUGUUCCAUAGCUUCCACCUCUUUUUGGACCAUGAGUGAAGCCCAAAACCAAGAUCAGUACCUCGGUCCUUUGAGACUUAGGUCACGGGUUAUAGAAAGAGGAAUAAGUGGACCUGGUCAAAGAGAAGACAAAAAUGAAUCCCCAAUGCCUCUCCGGGAAAGAAGAGAAAGACGAUGCCAUGAUCCUCCGCCGUGUGGAAGAGCUGAGGAAAGCAGGCAACGGAGUCGAUCUCCACGAUCUUCAGCUAGACCCUCCCAACCAUCAGGAAUGGGCAAUGAUAGGAGAAGCAGCAGGAAUACUGUCCAUGAAGCUUCCCGGACCAAACAUGGACCAUCAGAGGGGGAAGCUUCUAUCCCAGUGCCUGCUGCCCCUGAGCCCAGGUCUAGUGAGCCAUUGCCAAACCACCGACUACCACCAAGGGUGGCCAAGAGAAUUAAGAGAAUAGAAGGCCUCCCUUCUCACCCUUUCACACAUAAUGAUGAAUUAACAUCUUGUCCUAUCUGUAUGGAGCCAUAUGUCAUUGGAGAGCAAGUAACCUCUCUUCCUUGUAAUCAUAUAUACCAUUGGGGUUGUCUAGCACCAUGGCUCCGUACCAGCCCCAGAUGCCCCUUGUGCAGGCGCCAUUGUUUCAAUUGAAACAGAAGGAAAAUAUCAAGAGACUUGGACUGCAAUGCAGGACCCAGGGCCAAAGUAAGCUACAAAACUACAAAAAGACGACCUAUGACCAUCCUGACAUCUGUUCAUGAGGUUAAAGGGGUUAUCCAGGAAUGGAGAAACACUUUUCAACAGAGCAAGCAGAGAAAGAGAGGGACAAUCUGUGAGAGAUCCGUGUUCAAAGAGUGUCCGCAGCAGCUGAGAGGAAUCUGCCAGCAGGUUGAACAAGAUCCAGUGCUGGUAGCAGGAAAGCCUACGUGAGCAGUGAAGGGAACUUGAAGCUGGACUGACGUGAUUUACAUCCUAUGAGAGGGUUAACCUGAAACCUUUCUUUCCUGCUCUAUAACAAGGCACCCUGAACUCGCAUACCGAUAAUGAUCUUGUAUAAAGUUCCAUACACAAUGUCUCGGGAUGUCUUGGAAACUGUUAGUAUUGUGCAAAGAAAU